This 256-nucleotide ribosomal RNA is filed under the name uncultured bacterium. RNAcentral's name for it is "partial 16S ribosomal RNA". It matches the Rfam family "Bacterial small subunit ribosomal RNA", at positions 94 to 334 of the family's 1533-position model. The record is from RNAcentral.
AGCGGCGCACGGGUGAGUAACACGUGGGUAAUCUACCUUUAGGUUUGGAAUAACUCGGGGAAACUCGGGCUAAUGCCGAAUAAGACCACGUUUCUAAUGUUUUGUGGGAAAAGUGGGGGACCCUUUCGGGGGCCUUACGCCUAAAGAUGAGCCCGCGGCCCAUCAGCUUGUUGGUGAGGUAAUGGCCCACCAAGGCUAAGACGGGUAGCUGGUCUGAGAGGAUGAUCAGCCACUCUGGAACUGAGACACGGUCCAG